UAGCAACUGGAUUUGCAGCAGAAACACCCUGCUAAAGAGCAAGUAUCUUGAUUCACAGCAAAGAGGACAAAGGAAAACAGCAAGUUAUAGGGCGUUGAAUCCUGGAUUAGUGAUGGUAGUCAUGGGGCACAAGAAGAAACACAUUCACAGGGAUUUAAGGCUACCACCACCUCAGUUCUUGACCUUCUCCAUAAGAUAGAGAAUUUUCUCAAUCGGGAAAAGAAUUACUUUGUAAAUGAUGAACUCUCACUUCCUAAAUUUUCUGCACUUGCUACUGUUGCUGGAGGAAAUGUCACUGUUAAAGAAUAGAAGACCAUUUUUCUAAAGAAGUAUUUCAGACUGACUGAAUCAGGUCUGGAACAUUAUUGAAAUGGUAAGAUAAAACUCAGCUACUUUCUGGUAAAAGGAAAAAUUCUUUUUAAAAAUGUGGUCCCUUCU
Molecule: long non-coding RNA, 438 nt
Filed under: Chinchilla lanigera (long-tailed chinchilla)
Lineage: Eukaryota; Metazoa; Chordata; Mammalia; Rodentia; Chinchillidae
Description: lncRNA (ENSCLAG00000025563.1)
Source: RNAcentral